This is a long non-coding RNA of Vigna radiata var. radiata (mung bean), 617 nucleotides long. RefSeq lists it as uncharacterized. NCBI's taxonomy places the organism in Eukaryota, Viridiplantae, Streptophyta, Magnoliopsida, Fabales, Fabaceae. The transcript has 3 exons. The record is from RefSeq and is a predicted model, not a curated record.
GUGCAUCUGAGGCACAUGAAGAAGGUCCAUCUGACACAGAUGAAGAAGCUUCAGCUCGUGCACAUGCAGAAGGUGCAAAUGUAGAACCUGUCGCGGAACCCCUUGUCCAUUCACCUCCUUUCAUUGACAUAGGUGAUGAUGAUGAGGAUGGUCAUGUUGAACCCAAGUUCGUAGUCCCUUUGCGUAACUAUAAUGGUGAUCCAAGAACAACCGUUGAUUUGGAUAUGUUGUACAAUGCAAUGACGCAAAGAGACAUUGAAAGGAGGUAAGAUAACAAUAGGUUCUUAAUGUUAUUACUAAUGAAUGAUAUUAGUGCCUAAUUUAAUAUUCUUGAUAUUUCAGCUAUGUGUUCGAAAUAAUGGGUCAAUUGUUGACCACAACUGAAUGUAACACUUUAGGGCCUCGACAAUGUGUUGACAACAUGACGUUAAUUUUUGCAGCAACAAUAUUUAUUUAUUUUGAGAAAAGAUCCUCUGGAGGCAUAAAGAGGAUGGUAUUCAGUCCAAAUUUUGCGACACAUGUACUGAUCGACUAUAAGAGACGACCAGCCAAUCAAAAUGUGUGGCAACUUCUUGAUUACCAACCAUAUUUUCGUAACGAUCUCGUAAAUGUGCAAG